GAGAUUGAACGCUGGCGGCAGGCCUAACACAUGCAAGUCGAGCGGUAGAGAGGUGCUUGCAUCUCUUGAGAGCGGCGGACGGGUGAGUAAUGCCUAGGAAUCUGCCUAGUGGUGGGGGAUAACGUUCGGAAACGGACGCUAAUACCGCAUACGUCCUACGGGAGAAAGCGGGGGACCUUCGGGCCUCGCGCCAUUAGAUGAGCCUAGGUCGGAUUAGCUAGUUGGUGAGGUAAUGGCUCACCAAGGCGACGAUCCGUAACUGGUCUGAGAGGAUGAUCAGUCACACUGGAACUGA
RNAcentral lists this ribosomal RNA (295 nucleotides) under uncultured soil bacterium. RNAcentral's name for it is "partial 16S ribosomal RNA". It matches the Rfam family "Bacterial small subunit ribosomal RNA", at positions 26 to 322 of the family's 1533-position model. The record is from RNAcentral.